UGACUCUGAAACUUAAUUUCAAACUGAGUUUAAAUGGGUUGGGAUACUAAUAUCUCAAUCGUUAAAUCUAAACCAUGAUGAUUAUAAAUUUUUAAUUUUGAAUUCACCUGAGUCCAUUUAAAAAAUUAUUUGAAAUUUCAAACGGUCGACUACUUCUCAAAACCACCCGAUUCCUCCCACCCGGGAAUUGGGGUACAAUUGGAAAGACACACAUUGGGGCAGAGAAAGAAAAAGGAAAUGAAGAACAGCUGUUGCUUUGUCUGAAAUUCGCCGCUGCUGUCUCUACUCUACCAUAUUUGCGCUGAAGUGGAAGUUAAGGGGAGUUUGUCGUUCAAUUCUGUAUCUUUUCUCAUAUUGCCACAACUCCUAUCCACCGAUCUUCACUUGACUCUCUCUAUUUGUCCAUAAAACAGUUAUCCGUGCAUCUCUAUGUGCUUCAGUAACUCUUUGUGACUGUCUUUGCUCUGCCUCCUGUGUCUUCUUUAAGUAGAUUAAAAAAAUCUGUGUUCUUGAUUUUUUUUUCUUGUUGAUUGCAGCAGCAAUUUGUUGCCAUAUCUCUUGUUCUAAGGUUGAAAAGGAAUAAAAAAUUACAACUAAACUGAUCCUGGUUACUGUCCUUCCCGUUGUCGACGAGAUCAUUGAAGACCUAAUAAAAAAAAUAGAUUGUUAGACUUCAGUUACGUUUUCGAGUGUGACAUAAGGUUUUGAGAUUCUAGGAUGAGGCUGAGCUGUUGAAAAACAAAAAUACAACGGAAAUCCGUUGAUGGUGCUUCAUGAAAAGGGGAAGAAUUCUACCGAGUAUCUUACAUAGUGGCUGAGCAGUGUGGACAAAGCAAGGAACUGUUGGAAGGCAAAAAACAAGCCAACAAUGUCAUUUCAUUGUCCCAAUGUGAAGACUCGCUACCAGCUGUGCUAGAAAGCAAAGAAUAAAGCACAACUGGUAAGCUUUGGAAUGAGGGUGAAUUGGCCAUGAGGCCUUGCCUUCCAGGUUAUGAUCAUAUGGCCUUGCUUUUAAAUGUUACAAUUUUGAAGGAAAAAAUAGAUUGCUGUGGCAUGGUUGGUGUGGGUAAGAUUAUUGUUAUAUAUAUGAUGGGCAAAUAAGUAAAACAGUAGCCCAUCUAUUUUUGUGAGCAGCCCCUCUAAUUUUGGGAGCUUUAUCCAUCUCAACUACUUUCUUGCUAAGCUUGAUUGCUUUCUUGCUUUCCUGGAAGAAAGCAAGAAAGCAAUCCAGCUUAGUUGGAAGAAUGGAUAUUAUUUAUAGAAUAUGUGCACCCAAAAGUUUGCACCUUGGAGUUAGGGAAGUUUGUUGGAAAUAUUUGAAACUUCAAGUUCUAAGGGAUUGGACGUAUUGCUUUGUGGUUUGUUUGGACAAUCUAAUAUGCACGACGUUGUUUGAGAUAUUGCACCUUCUAAUGCUUCUGAAUAAGUUAUUCUUUGCCUUACGGUGAUGUCCAUUGAGCAUUCUUGAAAUGGAAAUUGCAAACAUAUUGCUUUGCUGUCUUUUUGGACAAUCUAAUAUUUACUGUUUGUUGUAUCAAGAUAAUGACAUGGAUGGAUUUGUGAAAAUGCGUGAUAUUGUUCAAGAUACUUCUCUUUUUAUUACA
This is a long non-coding RNA of Hevea brasiliensis (rubber tree), 1604 nucleotides long. RefSeq lists it as uncharacterized. NCBI's taxonomy places the organism in Eukaryota, Viridiplantae, Streptophyta, Magnoliopsida, Malpighiales, Euphorbiaceae. The record is from RefSeq and is a predicted model, not a curated record. The transcript is spliced from 2 exons.